This 282-nucleotide long non-coding RNA is filed under the name Equus asinus (donkey). Its description in RNAcentral is "lncRNA (ENSEASG00005029222.1)". The record is from RNAcentral. Lineage: Eukaryota; Metazoa; Chordata; Mammalia; Perissodactyla; Equidae.
GCCUCUAAGAAGACAGAUCAGGCCAAGGACACAUGCUGGAGAGGAAGGAGCCCAGGAACAUGGUGAGCUGUCCAAGCCAGGAAGAAGAAACAGCCCUGAGGCUGAAGGGCCUCACUUGCAAAAAUGAAGGAUGAGCUAGCCCUAAUGGCCUAGCAGUUAAAGUUUGGUGCGUUCUGCUUUGGCGUCCUCGAUUUGGUUCCUGAGUGUGGAACCACACCACUCGUCUGUCAGUAGCCAUGCUGUGGUGGCGGCUCACAUAGAAGAACAAGAAGGACUUACAAC